GAUGAACGCUAGCGAUAGGCUUAACACAUGCAAGUCGAGGGGCAGCAUGGUCUUAGCUUGCUAAGACUGAUGGCGACCGGCGCACGGGUGCGUAACGCGUAUGCAACUUGCCUCACAGAGGGGGAUAACCCGUCGAAAGACGGACUAAUACCGCGUACACUCCAUCUUGGGCAUCCAAGGUAGAGGAAAUGAAAUUCGCUGUGAGAUAGGCAUGCGUCCCAUUAGCUAGUUGGUGAGGUAACGGCUCACCAAGGCGACGAUGGGUAGGGGAACUGAGAGGUUGGACCCCCACACUGGUACUGAGACACGGACCAGACUCCUACGGGAGGCAGCAGUGAGGAAUAUUGGUCAAUGGGCGAGAGCCUGAACCAGCCAAGUCCCGUGAAGGAUGACUGUCUUAUGGAUUGUAAACUUCUUUUAUACGGGAAUAACAAGAGUCACGUGUGACUCCCUGCAUGUACCGUAUGAAUAAGCAUCGGCUAACUCCGUG
This 490-nucleotide ribosomal RNA is filed under the name uncultured bacterium. Its description in RNAcentral is "partial 16S ribosomal RNA". It matches the Rfam family "Bacterial small subunit ribosomal RNA", at positions 28 to 507 of the family's 1533-position model. The record is from RNAcentral.